GAUGAAGAACGUAGCGAAAUGCGAUAAGUAAUGUGAAUUGCAGAAUUCAGUGAAUCAUCGAAUCUUUGAACGCACAUUGCGCCCGCUAGUAUUCUGGCGGGCAUGCCUGUCCGAGCGUUAUUUCAACCCUCAAGCCCCCGGGCUUGGUGUUGGGGAUCGGCGAGCCUCCGCGCCCGCCGUCCCCUAAAUCUAGUGGCGGUCUCGCUGUAGCUUCCUCUGCGUAGUAGCACACCUCGCACUGGGAAACAGCGCGGCCACGCCGUUAAACCCCCAACUUCUGAACGUUUGACCUCAGAUCAGGUAGGAAUACCCGCUGAACUUAAGCAUAUCAAUAAGCGGAGGA
This 343-nucleotide unclassified non-coding RNA is filed under the name soil metagenome. RNAcentral describes it as "partial contains 5.8S ribosomal RNA, internal transcribed spacer 2, and large subunit ribosomal RNA". The stretch from base 1 to 120 matches the Rfam family "5.8S ribosomal RNA", at positions 35 to 154 of the family's 154-position model. The record is from RNAcentral.